AACGCACGAGACCUGCGGACCUGCGGAAGGAUCAUUACCGAGUUAUCCAACUCCCAACCCCUGUGAAUUAUACCUUUAAUUGUUGCUUCGGCGGGACUUCGCGCCCGCCGGGGACCCAAACCUUCUGAAUUUUUUAAUAAGUAUCUUCUGAGUGGUUAAAAAAAUGAAUCAAAACUUUUAACAAUGGAUCUCU
RNAcentral lists this unclassified non-coding RNA (193 nucleotides) under soil metagenome. RNAcentral's name for it is "partial contains 5.8S ribosomal RNA, internal transcribed spacer 2, and large subunit ribosomal RNA". The record is from RNAcentral.